RNAcentral lists this small nucleolar RNA (305 nucleotides) under Pelusios castaneus (West African mud turtle). RNAcentral describes it as "Small Cajal body-specific RNA 7 (ENSPCEG00000009186.1)". It matches the Rfam family "Small Cajal body-specific RNA 7". The record is from Rfam by way of RNAcentral. Lineage: Eukaryota; Metazoa; Chordata; Testudines; Pelomedusidae.
UGAAAAUAAUGAAAUAGAGGUGAAAUUCUGUUUGAAUGAUGUGUAUUAAAUGUGUGUGAUUUAACACUUAAUUUAUGCUUUUGAAUUAUAAUGUGCGUUGGAGAAAAGGCGCGAGGACUAUAACAUGGGGGCACUGGUAGAUAAAGUGCUGAUUUUUGCAGUGUAUCUGAGGCAUAUUGAAAUUUGGGGGGAUUUUUUUCCCCAACAUUGCCAGUGAUCAGAGUCCAGAAUAAGUUCAACAGAUGAAUCUAGACAUCUUAAAAAUCUGAGUUCACUGACAUAAAUGAUCCUGUGAUCUGAUCCAA